CUCAUCAGCCAUCGUUGAUGUGCCACAGACCUGAGGGCACGUGACCCAGGAAUGUGCAUCCAAAGAUAAUACUACCUUCAGAGAACUCUACUUAUAGUGGUGAAAUUGAAUCACUGAAGCAGCUGAGGCAGAGAGCUUUUCCUUCAGGAUUCACGGCCUAUUUCUCAGUUCUGGGAAGACAACUCUAACAACUCAACAGAGUGAAGAGAGAUAAAGAUGUUGGGAAUGACUGAUUUCAAACAAUCAAAACUGCUUUGGGGAUGAGGAUGAAGUUGGGACAUUACUGCCUUGUAUACCACAUACUAUAAUAUUUAUUAUGUCUAUUGUUUAUUGUGUGUGUCCUUCUUUAGAAUUUUAACUCCCCAAGGGCAAAGAUCCCUGACUGUUUUGCUUAUCAAUGUAUCCAAAAGGCCUAAAACAGAGCCUUGUACCCUAUACACACUCUGCAAAUAUUUGCUGAAUUGAAUAAAAGGCUGCCGAUCUAUAAA
Molecule: long non-coding RNA, 488 nt
Filed under: Homo sapiens (human)
Lineage: Eukaryota; Metazoa; Chordata; Mammalia; Primates; Hominidae
Description: non-protein coding LINC00867:4
Source: RNAcentral